Molecule: ribosomal RNA, 494 nt
Filed under: uncultured bacterium
Lineage: Bacteria
Description: partial 16S ribosomal RNA
Rfam family: Bacterial small subunit ribosomal RNA
Source: RNAcentral
GACGAACGCUGGCGGCGCGCUUAACACAUGCAAGUCGAACGGAAAGGCCUGCUUUCCCUUGUGGAUUGCGGGUACUCGAGUGGCGAACGGGUGAGUAACACGUGAGUGAUCUGCCCCCAACUUGGGUAUAAGCCUGGGAAACUGGGUCUAAUUCCCGAUAGGACUGCAGGGUGGUGCCUGUGGUGGAAAACGAUUUUCUAGUGGUUGGGGAUGAGCUCGCGGCCUAUCAGCUUGUUGGUGGGGUAAUGGCCUACCAAGGCGGCGACGGGUAGCCGGCCUGAGAGGGUGGACGGCCACAGUGGGACUGAGAUACGGCCCAGACUCCUACGGGAGGCAGCAGUGGGGAAUAUUGCACAAUGGGCGGAAGCCUGAUGCAGCGACGCCGCGUGGGGGAUGACGGCCUUCGGGUUGUAUACUCCUUUCGACCGCGAGGAAGCCACCUGGUUGGAAGGGUGGUGACGGUAGUGGUAGAAGAAGCACCGGCUAACUACGUG